CUCCUUUGGUGUGUUGAUCCUAUUAGUAUUCAGGCUGGCAGUGAGCAAUGGCAAUUGCAUCCAGCAUUCCAGAGCCUGGGACAGGUGGAGGAGCAAGAGGUCUUCCUCAGCCCACUUCGCACUGUCGGCCUCUGCCCGACAUCGCAAGGGAGAAAUUCAGAAACAAGAAGUAGCUUUCUUUGACAUUGAGAUGGUCACUCCUGAGAAAGG
Molecule: long non-coding RNA, 210 nt
Filed under: Fukomys damarensis (Damara mole-rat)
Lineage: Eukaryota; Metazoa; Chordata; Mammalia; Rodentia; Bathyergidae
Description: lncRNA (ENSFDAG00000021667.1)
Source: RNAcentral